CGGGCCCGCACAAGCAGCGGAGCGUGUGGUUUAAUUCGAUGCUACACGAAGAACCUUACCUGGGUUUGACAUGUACGUAGUAGUGAACCGAAAGGGGAACGAGCCUUCGGGCAGCGUACACAGGUGCUGCAUGGCUGUCGUCAGCUCGUGCCGUGAGGUGUUGGGUUAAGUCCCGCAACGAGCGCAACCCUCAUCGCUAGUUACAUGUGUCUAGCGAGACUGCCAGGUUAACCCUGGAGGAAGGUGGGGAUGACGUCAAGUCAGCAUGGCCUUUAUGCCCAGGGCUACACACACGCUACAAUGGUCGGUACAAUGGGAUGCCAAGCCGUGAGGCGGAGCAAAUCCUCAAAGCCGGCCUCAGUUCGAAUUGGAGGCUGCAACUCGCCUCCAUGAAGUCGGAGUUGCUAGUAACCGCAGGUCAGCUAUACUGCGGUGAAUACGUUCCCGGGGCUU
RNAcentral lists this ribosomal RNA (453 nucleotides) under uncultured Caldilineaceae bacterium. RNAcentral's name for it is "bacterial SSU rRNA". It matches the Rfam family "Bacterial small subunit ribosomal RNA", at positions 917 to 1381 of the family's 1533-position model. The record is from RNAcentral. Lineage: Bacteria; Bacillati; Chloroflexota; Caldilineae; Caldilineales; Caldilineaceae.